GUUGUAUAGUCAAGUAAUUAAGUGCAUGUGGUGGAUGCCUUGGCAGUCAGAGGCGAUGAAAGACGUGAUAGCCUGCGAAAAGCUCCGGGGAGGCGGCAAAUAUCCUUUGAUCCGGAGAUGUCUGAAUGGGGGAACCCACCUACUUUAAGGUAGGUAUUGCAACAUGAAUACAUAGUGUUGCAAGGCGAACGAGGGGAAGUGAAACAUCUCAGUACCCUUAGGAAAAGAAAUCAAUUGAGAUUCCCUCAGUAGCGGCGAGCGAACGGGGAUCAGCCCAUUAAGUUAUGUGUGUUUUAGUGGAACGCUCUGGGAAGUGCGAACGUAGAGGGUGAUAUUCCCGUACACGAAAGGGCACACAUAAUGAUGACGAGUAGGGCGAGGCACGUGAAACCUUGUCUGAAUAUGGGGGGACCAUCCUCCAAGGCUAAAUACUCCUGACUGACCGAUAGUGAACCAGUACCGUGAGGGAAAGGCGAAAAGAACCCCUGUGAGGGGAGUGAAAUAGAUCCUGAAACCGCAUGCAUACAAGCAGUGGGAGCACCUUCGUGGUGUGACUGCGUACCUUUUGUAUAAUGGGUCAGCGACUUAUAUUCAGUAGCGAGGUUAACCGUAUAGGGGAGCCGUAGAGAAAUCGAGUCUUAAUAGGGCGUUUAGUUGCUGGGUAUAGACCCGAAACCAGGCGAUCUAUCCAUGAGCAGGUUGAAGGUUGGGUAACACUAACUGGAGGACCGAACCCACUGUCGUUGAAAAGCCAGGGGAUGACUUGUGGAUAGGGGUGAAAGGCUAAUCAAGCCUGGUGAUAGCUGGUUCUCCCCGAAAGCUAUUUAGGUAGCGCCUCGGACGAAUACCAUAGGGGGUAGAGCACUGUUUCGGCUAGGGGGUCAUCCCGACUUACCAAACCGAUGCAAACUCCGAAUACCUAUGAGUACUAUCCGGGAGACAGACUGCGGGUGCUAACGUCCGUAGUCAAGAGGAAAACAAUCCAGACCGCCAGCUAAGGCCCCAAAAUCAUAGUUAAGUGGGAAACGAUGUGGGAAGGCAUAGACAGCUAGGAGGUUGGCUUANNNNNNNNNNNNNNNNNGAAGCAGCCACCCUUUAAAGAAAGCGUAAUAGCUCACUAGUCGAGUCGGCCUGCGCGGAAGAUGUAACGGGGCUAAAACUAUGUGCCGAAGCUGCGGAUGUAUACUUUGUAUACGUGGUAGGGGAGCGUUCUGUAAGCCGAUGAAGGUGUGUUGAGAAGCNNNNNNNNNNNNNNAUGCUGGAGGUAUCAGAAGUGCGAAUGCUGACGUGAGUAACGACAAAACGGGUGAAAAACCCGUUCGCCGAAAGACCAAGGGUUCCAGUCCAACGUUAAUCGGGGCUGGGUGAGUCGACCCCUAAGGCGAGGCCGAAAGGCGUAGUCGAUGGGAAAAUGGUUAAUAUUCCAUUACUUCUGUGUAAUGCGAUGAGAGGACGGAGAAGGCUAAAUCAGCCUGGCGUUGGUUGUCCAGGUGAAAGGAUGUAGGCAUGUAUCUUAGGCAAAUCCGGGGUACUCUAUGCUGAGAUCUGAUAGCAAGCUGUACUUGUACAGCGAAGUGGUUGAUGCCAUGCUUCCAGGAAAAGUCUCUAAGCUUCAGUUACACAGGAAUCGUACCCGAAACCGACACAGGUGGUCAGGUCGAGUAGACCAAGGCGCUUGAGAGAACUCUGCUGAAGGAACUAGGCAAAAUGGUACCGUAACUUCGGGAGAAGGUACGCUGUUGUUGGUGAUGGAACUCGCUUCCUGAGCUGACGACAGCCGCAGAAACCAGGCCGCUGCAACUGUUUAUUAAAAACAUAGCACUCUGCAAACACGAAAGUGGACGUAUAGGGUGUGAUGCCUGCCCGGUGCUGGAAGGUUAAUUGAUGGGGUUAGCGUAAGCGAAGCUCUUGAUCGAAGCCCCAGUAAACGGCGGCCGUAACUAUAACGGUCCUAAGGUAGCGAAAUUCCUUGUCGGGUAAGUUCCGACCUGCACGAAUGGCAUAAUGAUGGCGGCGCUGUCUCCAGCAGAGGCUCAGUGAAAUCGAAAUCGCUGUGAAGAUGCAGUGUACCCGCGGCUAGACGGAAAGACCCCGUGAACCUUUACUGCAGCUUGACACUGAACUUUGACCUUACUUGUGUAGGAUAGGUGGGAGGCUUUGAAGCUGGAACGCUAGUUCCAGUGGAGCCGUCCUUGAAAUACCACCCUGGUAAUGUUGAGGUUCUAACUCUGUCCCGUGAUCCGGGACGAGGACCGUGUCUGGUGGGUAGUUUGACUGGGGCGGUCUCCUCCUAAAGAGUAACGGAGGAGUACGAAGGUGCGCUCAGCGUGGUCGGAAAUCACGCGUAGAGUAUAAAGGCAAAAGCGCGCUUAACUGCGAGACCCACAAGUCGAGCAGGUACGAAAGUAGGUCUUAGUGAUCCGGUGGUUCUGUAUGGAAGGGCCAUCGCUCAACGGAUAAAAGGUACUCUGGGGAUAACAGGCUGAUACCGCCCAAGAGUUCAUAUCGACGGCGGUGUUUGGCACCUCGAUGUCGGCUCAUCUCAUCCUGGGGCUGAAGCAGGUCCCAAGGGUAUGGCUGUUCGCCAUUUAAAGAGGUACGCGAGCUGGGUUUAGAACGUCGUGAGACAGUUCGGUCCCUAUCUACCGUGGGCGCUGGAAAUUUGAGAGGAUCUGCUCCUAGUACGAGAGGACCAGAGUGGACGAACCUCUGGUGUACCGGUUGUGACGCCAGUCGCAUCGCCGGGUAGCUAUGUUCGGAAGGGAUAACCGCUGAAAGCAUCUAAGCGGGAAGCCUACCUCAAGAUAAGAUUUCCCUAGGACUUUAUGUCCUCUAAAGAGCCGUUCGAGACUAGGACGUUGAUAGGUUGGAUGUGGAAGCAUAGUGAUAUGUGAAGCUGACCAAUACUAAUUGCUCGUGAGGCUUGACUAUACAACACCCAAGCAGUUG
Molecule: ribosomal RNA, 2949 nt
Filed under: Acinetobacter baumannii
Lineage: Bacteria; Pseudomonadati; Pseudomonadota; Gammaproteobacteria; Moraxellales; Moraxellaceae
Description: bacterial LSU rRNA
Rfam family: Bacterial large subunit ribosomal RNA
Source: RNAcentral